GACGAACGCUGGCGGCGUGCUUAACACAUGCAAGUCGAACGGAAAGGCCCCUUUGGGGGUACUCGAGUGGCGAACGGGUGAGUAACACGUGAGUAACCUGCCCUUGACUUCGGGAUAACUUCAGGAAACUGGGGCUAAUACCGGAUAGGAAUCCUUGCUGCAUGGUGGGGGUUGAAAAGCUUCGGCGGUCUUGGAUGGACUCGCGGCUUAUCAGCUUGUUGGUGGGGUAGUGGCUUACCAAGGCUUUGACGGGUAGCCGGCCUGAGAGGGCGACCGGCCACAUUGGGACUGAGAUACGGCCCAGACUCCUACGGGAGGCAGCAGUGGGGAAUAUUGCACAAUGGGCGGAAGCCUGAUGCAGCAACGCCGCGUGCGGGAUGACGGCCUUCGGGUUGUAAACCGCUUUCAGCAGGGGCGAAGCUUGUGGUGACGGUACCUGCAGAAGAAGCACCGGCUAACUACGUG
This 465-nucleotide ribosomal RNA is filed under the name uncultured bacterium. RNAcentral's name for it is "partial 16S ribosomal RNA". It matches the Rfam family "Bacterial small subunit ribosomal RNA", at positions 28 to 507 of the family's 1533-position model. The record is from RNAcentral.